Molecule: non-coding RNA, 22 nt
Filed under: Arabidopsis thaliana (thale cress)
Lineage: Eukaryota; Viridiplantae; Streptophyta; Magnoliopsida; Brassicales; Brassicaceae
Source: RNAcentral
CCGGCGAUGCGUCCUGGUCGGA